This 1387-nucleotide long non-coding RNA is filed under the name Homo sapiens (human). RNAcentral describes it as "non-protein coding lnc-UTY-1:53". Lineage: Eukaryota; Metazoa; Chordata; Mammalia; Primates; Hominidae. The record is from RNAcentral.
UCCAUCACCCGCCUGGUUGGCUGGCGAUACUCUCCGGGAAGGCCUGGACGCAGCUUGCCCACGUUGAUGACGGGGUCAUCCUCAGCUUGGCACUCACCAAUCUGUCGCUGUCGCUCUUGGACUCGGGAAGGAGCAAGUCACUGGCUUUCUCAGACCAUUAACAAGCUCUGUGUCUCUCUCUCUACAGCCGUCUCUUCGGGUUCGUGAGGCUUCAUGAAGAUGGCGCCAGAACGAAGACCCUACUAGGCAAGGCUGUUCGCUGCUACGAAUCUUUAAUCUUAAAAGCUGAAGGAAAAGUGGAGUCUGACUUCUUUUGCCAAUUAGGUCACUUCAACCUCUUGUUGGAAGAUUAUUCAAAAGCAUUAUCUGCAUAUCAGAGAUAUUACAGUUUACAGGCUGACUACUGGAAGAAUGCUGCGUUUUUAUAUGGCCUUGGUUUGGUCUACUUCUACUACAAUGCAUUUCAUUGGGCAAUUAAAGCAUUUCAAGAUGUCCUUUAUGUUGACCCCAGCUUUUGUCGAGCCAAGGAAAUUCAUUUACGACUUGGGCUCAUGUUCAAAGUGAACACAGACUACAAGUCUAGUUUAAAGCAUUUUCAGUUAGCCUUGAUUGACUGUAAUCCAUGUACUUUGUCCAAUGCUGAAAUUCAAUUUCAUAUUGCCCAUUUGUAUGAAACCCAGGUAAGUGUUUUAACUUAAGAACAAGAAUGAAACAGUCACCUAUGCUUUAGAUGAAAUGAAAUGUACUUGAAAAUAUCAGGCUUUAAAUGAAAUAAAUAUAUUAGACGAUUUGAGUUGUGGGUAUUAUACUCUUGCAUGUAUUUUGUAUUCUACUCCUCAUUAAAUGUGUUUGAAAUUUUUAGUGAACAAAUUGUUAAAGACAAAUGAAGGCAUUUGAGAUUUGUACUUAAUAUAUAUAUAUAUAGCAGUUUGUGUAACUACCUUAAACUGUGUAUUUUAUUUCCUAAAUACAAUACUUGCUAUGUAUGCAGUGCUUUGACUUAAUGUAAUUUGCCUCUAUACCUUUAUUUAGAAGCUUUCAUGUAACCCUGCAUGUAAUGUCUACUUUUCUUUUAAAAUUUUCAUGAAUGAUUGUAAUAAGUCACUGUUAUUGAAGUUUUCUGUUUUUCUUUAAGACUGAGGUAUCUUUUAAGCAUCAUACCAUUUCAAAUGAUAGUUACCAUUAGUUCAAGGCUGUUUGUUUUUAAAGUUAUUUCAGCUUUUUAAAAAAAUAUUUUGCUUUGUAUAGCAGAUUUUAUUAUAAUAUUUAAACUGUAACAUACAGAUUUACAGUUUGUGGUGGAGUUGGUAGACUUAAAAAAAUGGGUAGCAUUUUUUCAUAUUAUGAGUAGCUGAACAUUUUGAAUUUAAAUUGUGAAAUAAAGAGA